AUCGGCGAAGACAGACUUGGGCGGACGGAGGUGGUGCUUCUUAUGGUAUGGGCGGUGUCGACAAAUGGUCACCGGAAGGUAACCCAAACUCCAAACCUAAUGGAGGUUGACAAAUGGUCACCGGAAGGUAACCCAAACUCCAAACCUAAUGGAGGGCUCUGAUACCAUGUAAUUUAGAAUUCAGAAACGUAUAUGUCUUAUUCUCAUUGAGUCAAAGCAAUGUUACAUAUUUAUAUAGAGAAUAAACUAAA
This is a long non-coding RNA of Cucumis sativus (cucumber), 251 nucleotides long. RefSeq lists it as uncharacterized. NCBI's taxonomy places the organism in Eukaryota, Viridiplantae, Streptophyta, Magnoliopsida, Cucurbitales, Cucurbitaceae. The record is from RefSeq and is a predicted model, not a curated record. The transcript is spliced from 2 exons.